AGUGAACGCUGGCGGUAGGCCUAACACAUGCGAGUCGAACGGCAGCACAGUAAGAGCUUGCUCUUACGGGUGGCGAGUGGCGGACGGGUGAGGAAUACAUCGGAAUCUACUUUUUCGUGGGGGAUAACGUAGGGAAACUUACGCUAAUACCGCAUACGACCUACGGGUGAAAGCAGGGGAUCUUCGGACCUUGCGCGAUUGAAUGAGCCGAUGUCGGAUUAGCUAGUUGGCGGGGUAAAGGCCCACCAAGGCGACGAUCCGUAGCUGGUCUGAGAGGAUGAUCCGCCACACUGGAACUGAGACACGCUCCAGACUCCUACGGGAGGCAGCAGUGGGGAAUAUUUGACAAUGGGCGCAAGCCUGAUCCAGCCAUACCGCGUGGGUGAAGAAGGCCUUCGGGUUGUAAAGCCCUUUUGUUGGGAAAGAAAAGCAGCAGGUUAAUACCCCGCUGUUCUGACGGUACCCAAAGAAUAAGCACCGGCUAACUUCGUG
Molecule: ribosomal RNA, 492 nt
Filed under: uncultured bacterium
Lineage: Bacteria
Description: partial 16S ribosomal RNA
Rfam family: Bacterial small subunit ribosomal RNA
Source: RNAcentral